This 119-nucleotide ribosomal RNA is filed under the name Sinocyclocheilus rhinocerous. Lineage: Eukaryota; Metazoa; Chordata; Actinopteri; Cypriniformes; Cyprinidae. The record is from RNAcentral.
GCUUACAGCCAUACCACCCUGAGCACGCCUGAUCUCGUCCGAUCUCGGAAGCUAAGCAGGGUCGGACCUGGUUAGUACUUGGAUGGGAGACCGCCUGGGAAUACCAGGUGCUGUAAGCU